UACGUAGGGUGCAAGCGUUGUCCGGAAUUAUUGGGCGUAAAGAGCUCGUAGGCGGUUUGUUGCGUCGGCUGUGAAAUCCCGAGGCUCAACCCCGGGCCUGCAGCCGAUACGGGCAAGCUAGAAUUCGGUAGGGGAGACUGGAAUUCCUGGUGUAGCGGUGAAAUGCGCAGAUAUCAGGAGGAACACCGGUGGCGAAGGCGGGUCUCUGGGCCGAUAUUGACGCUGAGGAGCGAAAGCGUGGGGAGCGAACAGG
RNAcentral lists this ribosomal RNA (253 nucleotides) under uncultured bacterium. Its description in RNAcentral is "partial 16S ribosomal RNA". It matches the Rfam family "Bacterial small subunit ribosomal RNA", at positions 524 to 776 of the family's 1533-position model. The record is from RNAcentral.